GACGAACGCUGGCGGCGUGCCUAAUACAUGCAAGUAGAACGCUGAAGGAGGAGCUUGCUUCUCUGGAUGAGUUGCGAACGGGUGAGUAACGCGUAGGUAACCUGCCUGGUAGCGGGGGAUAACUAUUGGAAACGAUAGCUAAUACCGCAUAAUAGUAGAUGUUGCAUGACAUUUGCUUAAAAGGUGCAAUUGCAUCACUACCAGAUGGACCUGCGUUGUAUUAGCUAGUUGGUGGGGUAACGGCUCACCAAGGCGACGAUACAUAGCCGACCUGAGAGGGUGAUCGGCCACACUGGGACUGAGACACGGCCCAGACUCCUACGGGAGGCAGCAGUAGGGAAUCUUCGGCAAUGGACGGAAGUCUGACCGAGCAACGCCGCGUGAGUGAAGAAGGUUUUCGGAUCGUAAAGCUCUGUUGUAAGAGAAGAACGAGUGUGGGAGUGGAAAGUUCACACUGUGACGGUAUCUUACCAGAAAGGGACGGCUAACUACGUG
RNAcentral lists this ribosomal RNA (495 nucleotides) under uncultured bacterium. Its description in RNAcentral is "partial 16S ribosomal RNA". It matches the Rfam family "Bacterial small subunit ribosomal RNA", at positions 28 to 507 of the family's 1533-position model. The record is from RNAcentral.